UACGUAGGGGGGCAAGCGUUGUCCGGAUUUAUUGGGCGUAAAGAGCGUGUAGGCGGCCAUGUAGGUCCGUUGUGAAAACUCGAGGCUCAACCUCGAGACGCCGAUGGAAACCAUGUGGCUAGAGUCCGGAAGAGGAGAGUGGAAUUCCUGGUGUAGCGGUGAAAUGCGCAGAUAUCAGGAAGAACACCCGUGGCUAAGGCGGCUCUCUAGUACGGUACUGACGCUGAGACGCGAAAGCGUGGGGGAGCAAAACAGG
Molecule: ribosomal RNA, 256 nt
Filed under: uncultured bacterium
Lineage: Bacteria
Description: partial 16S ribosomal RNA
Rfam family: Bacterial small subunit ribosomal RNA
Source: RNAcentral